Molecule: ribosomal RNA, 659 nt
Filed under: uncultured archaeon
Lineage: Archaea
Description: bacterial SSU rRNA
Rfam family: Archaeal small subunit ribosomal RNA
Source: RNAcentral
AUGAGUCUUCGCUUAAAAGAGGCUGGGGUUAUGCUCUCCAGUUUCGCCCAAGGAUGGGGCCGCGACCGAUCAGGUUGUUGGUGAGGUAAUGGCUCACCAAGCCUUUUACCGGUGCGGGCCGUGGGAGCGGGAGCCCGGAGAUGGGCACUGAGACAAGGGCCCAGGCCCUACGGGGCGCAGCAGUCGCGAGAACUUUGCAAUAAGCGAAAGCUUGACAGGGCUAUCCCGAGUGCCAUCCGCUGAGGAAGGCUUUUACCCAGUCUAGAACGCUGGGGGAAUAAGGAGAGGGCAAGUCUGGUGUCAGCCGCCGCGGUAAUACCAGCUCUCCGAGUGGUGUGGAUGUUUAUUGGGCCUAAAGCAUCCGUAGCUGGCCAGGUUAGUCCCCUGUUAAAUCCACCGAAUUAAUCGUUGGAUUGCGGGGGAUACUGCUUGGCUAGGGGACGAGAGAGGCAGACGGUAUUUCCGGGGUAGGGGUGAAAUCCUAUAAUCCCGGGAAGACCACCAGUGGCGAAGGCUGUCUGCUAGAACGCGCCCGACGGUGAGGGAUGAAAGCUGGGGGAGCGAACCGGAUUAGAUACCCGGGUAGUCCCAGCUGUAAACGAUGCAGACUAGGUGUUUGGACGGCCACGUGCCGUUCUAGUGCCGCAGGGAAGCUGUUA